Molecule: long non-coding RNA, 3039 nt
Organism: Canis lupus familiaris (dog)
Lineage: Eukaryota; Metazoa; Chordata; Mammalia; Carnivora; Canidae
Exons: 5
Source: RefSeq, a predicted model, not a curated record
GGCGUGCGGGCGCCCGGGGCUGUGCGGCUGGGCCCGCGGCCUCUGGCGCCGGGCGCCUGCGUCCGAGCCUCGGCUCUUCCGCUGCGUGGCCGUGGUAAGGUGCCCAUCCCCAGUUUCUCCAUCUGCAAAGUGAAGCGGCUGACUUCGUGUGAGCGGCGGCGCGGCCCUGAUGAGAGAAGCGCAGAGACCCGAGAAAGCGGGCCCUCAGGAUUUUGGUCAAUACACUGCUGAGUGUACAAUGAACUCGUGUAUCCUGCAGAAUUUGCAUUGUCAGGAGGAAGGCCUUGCUCAGAGAGAGGAAGAUCAUCCUUCAUUCAAGAGUUUAUGAGUAGCAGUCACUGCUUGAAUUGCCCACAUAACCUCAGCUAACUCAGAUGGUGCUACACUAUCAGCCUGCAAGGACCAGCACUUUGUCAGGGGCUCCAUCCACACACUGAGGCAGCGCUUGAAGAUGCACUCCUCCAGGGAAGCCUUUCCUGAUCACCAAGAGGAAAGAAGACUGGCUCAUCCCCACCCUGCCCAAACACAGUGCUUCCACAUCUCUCUCUGCUCACCUUGUCCAAGAAGGCUGGACAAGCCUCCAAGACACUGGUGCUUGACCUCAAGGGACUCUUUCCUGACGUGGCCCAGCAGCUGGUGCAGCCAGGUGUGUGUAUGUGUCUGUGUCUGCACCUGGUGGCUGAUCCAAACUCCUAGAAGGAAGUUGAGGUAGAAGCCACAGGUCUUAUCCCUGUUGGGUGAUGAGGAAGAUGAUAAUGACUCUUCUGUCUGCAUGUCCUGAUUUGCCAUGGGUAAGACUUCUGUUGGCCAUUUUAAAACCGCCCAAACAGUCUUUAAACAACUUAAGAAGUGAUCAAAGGUGUUUGGACUUAACCUGGACCAGCAACGUUCUCAAUGGAGUCAGCUCUGUGACUUUGGUUGGGAGGAAGCAAGUGUGAACCAGUAAUGCAGAUGUAGCUCGAAAGCACUGAGAUGUUUCCUAAGUUGAUCUAUCCCAAGUAUACAUCCAGCUUAUUCCUGAAUUGGAAUCAAAUUAGAAAAACCUCUGAAGGAAAAAGUGGGUGAGCAGACGUUUGAGGGCUUACCAAGUACCUGACACAUCUCAGAGCACUUGUGAAAUGCUGUGGAUUUAUGAAAGCAAUAAACAGGUCUGUGUGAUUGAUUGUUCCCGUCGCACUUCCUGGUCACAUGUCACACCCACAUGAAGCAUAACAAGGAAGACUCAGAGAGGGUAAGACGGAGGUCUUGUGCCUUCAAGACAGGCGCAUGCGUCUUAGCUCCCAUGGCAUUUGGGGCUGAUUACCCUGGCCUGUGUGUAAUGAGACACGACGGAGUUAAGGAUCAAGAUAAAUCAGGUAUUGUCAUCGACCUUUGGUGUUUUUGAGACUGAGAAAGAAAGAUUUGGCGUGCCCGCCUUCCUCAUCAGUCUGGUAUCUCACCUGUCAUCUUAAACACGGUAAACAAACCACAGACAUAUUUUUCUUCCUUGCAGAACUGCACCCUUUUUUGUGAGUAGGUCUGGAUACUGUUUGGCAAUUGCAGUUGAGUAGAAUGGGGGUGGGGAAGCGUUCGAUUCCACCCUCUUCUCAAAUACCUGAAGUAGAGUAAUGAGUAGGUGUCACAUUUGUCGCCUCUUCUCCACUCCUACUAUCUGCAUGCAGACCUUAAUCAUGUUUUCCUUAGGCCACCAUAGCUGACAUUUCCUUCCAAUUGAUCUCAUGAAGGCUGGAGGUGCUGGGACACCCAGAGGGAGCAAGAUGCUCUUCAUUCUGCCAUCGCCAGGAGGAGAUCACUAGGAAAUACCCAUUUCUUGGUGGUACAUUAUCAACCAACAAUCUGUUUAUUGAAGGAAUUCGCUCGUGCAUUCACUCAGCGAAUAUUGAGAGCCUGUUAUGCACCAGGUGGUGUUCUAGGUACUGAAGAUACAGUAGUGAACAAAAACACUCAACACAGAACAACAUGGAUGAAUCUCCAAGCAGUUCUGCGAUGAAAAGUCAACCCCCGAAAGCUAAUACUGGUGAUUCCAUUUAUAGAAAAAUUUUGAAAUGGCAACAUUUUAGAAAUGGUGGUUGCCAGGACUUAGGGAUGGGGUGAGGGGUGGUUCAUGGUGGGAGAAAGUUGGUAUAGUGGUAAAAAAGCACCAUACGGAAUCCUUGUAUUGACAUGCUAUUCAGUAUCUUGACCAUGAGGGUGGUUACAAGAACUUACACAUGAUAAAAUCACAUAGAGCUAAACACACACACCAAUGAGUGCAAGUAAAACUGGGGAGAUGUGAAAAAGAUCUGUGGGUUGAAUCAAUAUCAGUAUCUUCUUGGUUGCAAUACUGUACUAUAAUGCUACUAUUGGGAAAACCGGGUAAAGUCCAUGCAGGAUCUCUUUUGUAUUAUUUCUUAGAACUGUACAUGGAUCUAUAAUUAUUCCAAUAAAAAUGUACAAAAAAAAAAAAACACCCCCGAAACAAAACCCAGCUCCCAGACCUGAUGGAGCCUACAUUUGAGUGGGAGCUAAGUGUUGCUUCGUGGUGGCCACAGGGUAAAAGCCAAGACCACACUCAGAGGUCUACCCCUUCUGGGGUAUUCCAUGUUCUCAAGACAUGUCAUUGGAUCCCUACUGGUGACCGAAGGAAAUCCAGACUUAGGGUAGGAGGCAGAUGCAGAAUAAGGGUGGACUCCCAGCUCCCCUGACCCUGUGACAUGGGCAUGUUGGAAUUAUCCAGUCUGCCUUUGGGUCUCUAAACCAGGCACCCAUUAGACUAAAGGUGGGACUCAACUAUCCAUGGAGCUCCCAGUGCUCAUGUGAGACCCUUCGUGGCUUAUUCCCCACUUCCGCCAUCCCCACCACCAACCUGCUUUCACCUCUGUGCAAACACUUGGUCCAUCCUGGCAGCACAUUCAGCUUGCGGAACCUACUUUCCCCAUACAGGUACUAGCAUGGCUCACUGCCCUAGUUCUCACCAUUAGGCAAGAACUCCUCAUGCCAGCCCUGGGCCUUGAUCCUAGAUUCUAGCCCCCUAGCCAUGACUAGGAGUGAGUGUCCAGC